This 1535-nucleotide long non-coding RNA is filed under the name Capsicum annuum. Its description in RNAcentral is "long non-coding RNA (CANN_LNC021502)". Lineage: Eukaryota; Viridiplantae; Streptophyta; Magnoliopsida; Solanales; Solanaceae. The record is from RNAcentral.
AAAAUUUCCUAUUAUUCACUCUUCCUCUCAAAAUCAAAACCCUAACUCAUCCCCAAAGAUCAAGAACUCAUCCCUAAGAUCAAGAAUUCCAAGAAACGGACCAAGAUCGAGGUUCCAUCUUUCAAAUCUUUUAAUGUAAGGUACGUGGGGUUUUCCUAAAACUACAUGGGCAUAAAGAAAUUGUUUCAACAAUAUUUAAACAUUAUGAAAUCAUGAAUUCUUGAAGGGGUAUUAGAAUUUGUAUUACAAUGUUGCUUUAUGAAUUCUUUAAUGACAUUAUUAUUUUGGUCUUGAGGCAUUUCCCCCAAACUUGAUUUAUAACCAUGUAUAAGUAUAUAUAUGUAUGUGUUUGAUGAAUUUGAAUGAUGAAUUGAGAGCAUGAUCUAUUAGAAAUUCCUCUCUUGUUUACAAGUUUCUUGUUUUCGUAAGAUAUGAUUUAUUCGAAAUGCAUUGUUGGGAGCAUGAUAUAAAUGUUUUGAUGUUGUUUAUGGCUUGAUUAUGGUUUUGAAUUGAAGAGAGGGGACUUUUACAUGAUUGAAUGAUGUUGAAAAUAUAUAUAUAACGAAAGAACUACAUGAUUUUGCCAAAGAUGCAUGACCACCACAUGUUUGUUGAAAUGUUGAAAAGAGAUAUCCUUUGCAUAAUUUUAUGAAUGUUUUGAAGUAUGAGUUUUCGUAAAUUGUUGGAAGUAUGGUAGUCCAAACUUUAUGUUUUGAAAGAAGAGACUGUGAUAUGAUAUUUUAUGGCUCUGAAACAUGAAUUGCAAGUCUUGGUGUGACGACACCAAAAUAGAUAAUGCCAUAACAAACUCAGAAUAAAAUAGAAAUCAGAUUUCACUCAGAUUUGCAGAUUUUGAAAUUUAGAAAGUUGCAUGUUAAGAAAAGGUUAAAAAUGGGCUUAAAAAGAAUUAGAUGGUUACCCGAAGAAAGUACGAGCUGAAAGACUCAAUGCUAGAAAUCGUAAUUUGCCGACACAGGGUUAUGGUACUAUGUCGUGUGGUCUUGUGUACCUUGAUUUAUGUCGUCCCACUUUGGAACUGUAGUUAGGAGCCAUGUUUUGUGGUCUUGUACUCUACCAUGACAUGUUGAUUUAAUUAGGGGAUCAUGGCACCAUGCUGUAUGGUCUUGCGUGUCUCCCCAUACUGAUACUCCAAUCCUUGCGGCAAAUUUGGAUUGGAGGCUUGGCCGCCGAGUCAAGGGCGGAUUCUGUAUAGCCCAUGGAAUUACAGAUUGUAAGGUGUACCAUCUAGCUCAUAAGUAAGAUAAAGAGUGAAUCAUGGAUUUCAUAUUAUUGUUCAAAGUCUUUUAAAUAUGACCAUGUGUUUUUUCAUAUAUUAUAUAUAAAUUGAUUUCAAACUGCUCUCACUUAUGUUGUAUAAAAGUGCAUUAUUUUGGAUUACUCUGCGUACCAGUAUAUUUGUAUUGACCCCCUAUAUUUCAGGGUCUGAGGUUCAGUCUAGAGGUCGUGCUAAGCCGUAAAGUAAUUCAGACAGAAGUGAAGUGUGCAGUUGGUGAGCAUUCUUUAUUCCAGAAGGC